GUACCCCGAGGAAAAGAAAUCAACCGAGAUUCCCCCAGUAGCGGCGAGCGAACGGGGAGGAGCCCAGAGCCUGAAUCAGUGUGUGUGUUAGUGGAAGCGUCUGGAAAGGCGCGCGAUACAGGGUGACAGCCCCGUACACAAAAAUGCACAUACUGUGAGCUCGAUGAGUAGGGCGGGACACGUGGUAUCCUGUCUGAAUAUGGGGGGACCAUCCUCCAAGGCUAAAUACUCCUGACUGACCGAUAGUGAACCAGUACCGUGAGGGAAAGGCGAAAAGAACCCCGGCGAGGGGAGUGAAAAAGAACCUGAAACCGUGUACGUACAAGCAGUGGGAGCCUCUUUUAUGGGGUGACUGCGUACCUUUUGUAUAAUGGGUCAGCGACUUAUAUUCUGUAGCAAGGUUAACCGAAUAGGGGAGCCGAAGGGAAACCGAGUCUUAACUGGGCGUUAAGUUGCAGGGUAUAGACCCGAAACCCGGUGAUCUAGCCAUGGGCAGGUUGAAGGUUGGGUAACACUAACUGGAGGACCGAACCGACUAAUGUUGAAAAAUUAGCGGAUGACUUGUGGCUGGGGGUGAAAGGCCAAUCAAACCGGGAGAUAGCUGGUUCUCCCCGAAAGCUAUUUAGGUAGCGCCUCGUGAAUUCAUCUCCGGGGGUAGAGCACUGUUUCGGCAAGGGGGUCAUCCCGACUUACCAACCCGAUGCAAACUGCGAAUACCGGAGAAUGUUAUCACGGGAGACACACGGCGGGUGCUAACGUCCGUCGUGAAGAGGGAAACAACCCAGACCGCCAGCUAAGGUCCCAAAGUCAUGGUUAAGUGGGAAACGAUGUGGGAAGGCCCAGACAGCCAGGAUGUUGGCUUAGAAGCAGCCAUCAUUUAAAGAAAGCGUAAUAGCUCACUGGUCGAGUCGGCCUGCGCGGAAGAUGUAACGGGGCUAAACCAUGCACCGAAGCUGCGGCAGCGACGCUUAUGCGUUGUUGGGUAGGGGAGCGUUCUGUAAGCCUGUGAAGGUGUACUGUGAGGUAUGCUGGAGGUAUCAGAAGUGCGAAUGCUGACAUAAGUAACGAUAAAGCGGGUGAAAAGCCCGCUCGCCGGAAGACCAAGGGUUCCUGUCCAACGUUAAUCGGGGCAGGGUGAGUCGACCCCUAAGGCGAGGCCGAAAGGCGUAGUCGAUGGGAAACAGGUUAAUAUUCCUGUACUUGGUGUUACUGCGAAGGGGGGACGGAGAAGGCUAUGUUGGCCGGGCGACGGUUGUCCCGGUUUAAGCGUGUAGGCUGGUUUUCCAGGCAAAUCCGGAAAAUCAAGGCUGAGGCGUGAUGACGAGGCACUACGGUGCUGAAGCAACAAAUGCCCUGCUUCCAGGAAAAGCCUCUAAGCAUCAGGUAACAUCAAAUCGUACCCCAAACCGACACAGGUGGUCAGGUAGAGAAUACCAAGGCGCUUGAGAGAACUCGGGUGAAGGAACUAGGCAAAAUGGUGCCGUAACUUCGGGAGAAGGCACGCUGAUAUGUAGGUGAAGCGACUUGCUCGUGGAGCUGAAAUCAGUCGAAGAUACCAGCUGGCUGCAACUGUUUAUUAAAAACACAGCACUGUGCAAACACGAAAGUGGACGUAUACGGUGUGACGCCUGCCCGGUGCCGGAAGGUUAAUUGAUGGGGUUAGCGGUAACGCGAAGCUCUUGAUCGAAGCCCCGGUAAACGGCGGCCGUAACUAUAACGGUCCUAAGGUAGCGAAAUUCCUUGUCGGGUAAGUUCCGACCUGCACGAAUGGCGUAAUGAUGGCCAGGCUGUCUCCACCCGAGACUCAGUGAAAUUGAACUCGCUGUGAAGAUGCAGUGUACCCGCGGCAAGACGGAAAGACCCCGUGAACCUUUACUAUAGCUUGACACUGAACAUUGAGCCUUGAUGUGUAGGAUAGGUGGGAGGCUUUGAAGUGUGG
RNAcentral lists this ribosomal RNA (1939 nucleotides) under Escherichia coli. RNAcentral's name for it is "partial 23S ribosomal RNA". It matches the Rfam family "Bacterial large subunit ribosomal RNA", at positions 206 to 2167 of the family's 2925-position model. The record is from RNAcentral. Lineage: Bacteria; Pseudomonadati; Pseudomonadota; Gammaproteobacteria; Enterobacterales; Enterobacteriaceae.